UACGUAGGGGGCAAGCGUUGUCCGGAAUUAUUGGGCGUAAAGCGCGCGCAGGCGGUCUUUUAAGUCAGGUGUUUAAUCCCGGGGCUCAACCCUGGUCCGCACCUGAAACUGGGAGACUUGAGUGCAGGAGAGGAGAGCGGAAUUCCACGUGUAGCGGUGAAAUGCGUAGAGAUGUGGAGGAACACCAGUGGCGAAGGCGGCUCUCUGGUCUGUAACUGACGCUGAGGCGCGAAAGCGUGGGUAGCAAACAGG
This 252-nucleotide ribosomal RNA is filed under the name uncultured bacterium. RNAcentral's name for it is "partial 16S ribosomal RNA". It matches the Rfam family "Bacterial small subunit ribosomal RNA", at positions 524 to 776 of the family's 1533-position model. The record is from RNAcentral.